CCUACGGGAGGCAGCAGUGGGGAAUAUUGCACAAUGGGGGGAACCCUGAUGCAGCGACGCCGCGUGGGUGAAGGAGUAUUUCGGUAUGUAAAGCCCUAUCAGCAGGGAAGAACAAUGACGGUACCUGACUAAGAAGCACCGGCUAAAUACGUGCCAGCAGCCGCGGUAAUACGUAUGGUGCAAGCGUUAUCCGGAUUUACUGGGGGGAAAGGGAGCGCAGGCGGCGCGUUAAGCCUGGUGUGAAAGUCCGCGGCCCAACCGCGGGACUGCAUUGGGAACUGGCGCGCUGGGGUGCCGGAGGGGUAGGCGGAAUUCCUAGUGUAGCGGUGAAAUGCGUAGAUAUUAGGAGGAACACCAGUGGCGAAGGCGGCCUACUGGACGGUGACUGACGCUGAGGCUCGAAAGCGUGGGGAGCAAACAGGAUUAGAUACCCGAGUAGUC
Molecule: ribosomal RNA, 441 nt
Filed under: uncultured bacterium
Lineage: Bacteria
Description: partial 16S ribosomal RNA
Rfam family: Bacterial small subunit ribosomal RNA
Source: RNAcentral